RNAcentral lists this ribosomal RNA (253 nucleotides) under uncultured bacterium. RNAcentral's name for it is "partial 16S ribosomal RNA". It matches the Rfam family "Bacterial small subunit ribosomal RNA", at positions 524 to 776 of the family's 1533-position model. The record is from RNAcentral.
UACGUAGGGAGCAAGCGUUGUCCGGAAUCAUUGGGCGUAAAGCGCGCGUAGGUGGCUUCGUAAGUCCGUUGUGAAAGUCAAAGGCUCAACCUUUGAAAGCCGAUGGAUACUGCGGAGCUAGAGUACGGAAGAGGCGAGUGGAAUUCCUGGUGUAGCGGUGGAAUGCGCAGAUAUCAGGAGGAACACCGGUGGCGAAGGCGGGUCUCUGGGCCGAAACUGACGCUGAGGAGCGAAAGCGUGGGGAGCGAACAGG